Molecule: RNA transcript, 2708 nt
Organism: Wyeomyia smithii (pitcher-plant mosquito)
Lineage: Eukaryota; Metazoa; Arthropoda; Insecta; Diptera; Culicidae
Exons: 2
Source: RefSeq, a predicted model, not a curated record
GUUUUCAUUCAACUUUGAUCGAAAUCUUUCGGUGUAAUAGGCCGAAGUAUGACUAUCUCUCUCUUAAAGAAAUGUUCCAACUAGCCUGCACACUGUACAAUAAUGCUAUCCAUUCGUCUAUCAAUUUGAAACCACGUGAAGCAUUUUUUGGAGUCAAAGACGGAGAGGAGAGACCUCUCGACCAAAUUGAGUUAAUAAGAGUCCGUAAUGAAUUUUAUGAUAAAAUUACUGCCACUAACAAAGAAACACAGGUUAAACAGCACAUGUAUCACAAUGCUACAAGAGAAGACCCACCAGUUCUCGAAGAAGAUCAACCUAUUCUCGUUAAGUGCCAAGGUAUCAAAUCGAAACGGAGGGAUCGAUUCGAACUGAAAAUUGUAGAUAACGAUGGACACCAAACGCUCCACGACCAGGACGGGAAAAAGAUUCAUAAAUCAAACCUACACCGGAUUAGGAAUUAAUAUUCUCUAUUCUUCUUUUCAGACAUUGAAACCGCAAACCAGUUACGAUAUACCGUUCUCACUCUAUAUCAUACAACUGGCUAACAUAAAAGAUGAAAAGAUAUCACACAGAUCAUCUCACUUCAAUGGUAGACAAACCUAACUCUCUGGAACGGAAUAAUAAUAAUAAAAAAAAAAUGUUUGUGCCCUAUAAUAAAACCUUCUCCUCUUACCAUUUUAGGUUAAAAAGUAAACUUUCCAUUGGCAGCUUGCUACCCUACGUCUAAGUACUUUUACACGUCUGUUACAUCGAGCCUAAUACAACUCUCACCUUCAGGUACCUUUGAAUGCCUAGAUAUAGAAAAAAAAGUAAAUUACCAUUGUAUGUAGAUUUAAUAAACAAAACGAAUGACUAACUCCAACUAACACUAAUUAUAAUAUUGAAAGCAAAUUUAUGAUCGUAUCCUUUAAUUUAAUCAAUCAAAAUUAGACGCUCACGAACGAAAGCAAUUAUACGUUUUAAAUUACAGGAAAAUGCUACGAAGCUUACUGAAAACAUGGUUCCUCUUGUCGAUUCCAGUAUACUGUAGUUCAGAAUUAGAUAUUGUUAACCUUCAUAAUAACCCAAUCGUUCUUAUCAAACAAAACAACUGUAAAUUACAAACCGGAACCAUUAAAAUUAUUCAUCCAAUCAAUCUACAUCAAAUCGAAGAGAGCAUAGAACUACUGACUACAAAAUUUUAUACACAACUAACCCCAACUAACCCAAUGAACGAGGUUGUUAAAUAUCGGAUCAAGAAGCUGUAUUCAUCCCUCUACGCGUUGAAACCGCAACAAGCGCAUCGACACAAGAGAUGGGACUCAUUAGGCGCUGCGUGGAAGUGGAUUGCCGGAUCGCCCGAUGCACAAGAUCUACAGAUCAUUAACUCUACAAUGAAUGAUAUCAUCGAUCAAAAUAACCAGCAAUACAGAGUUAACGAAAACAUCAACAACCGGAUUUCGAAACUAACGCAAGCAAUCAAUCAAAUAGCCAGCGCUCUAAACCCCCAGAAUGGAUUGGACGUUAUGCAAGCAAUUACCACAAUGUUGAACAUGGACGUCAUUAAUGAACUCCUCGACAAUAUCCAGGAAGCAAUCACCCUCAGCAGAAUUUCCGUUAUUAACAACAAAAUUUUAUCAACACGAGAAAUAAACGUGAUCAAAACCGCUCUUCAAGACCAAGGAGUGAAGAUAAAUUUUCCGGACGAAGCCCUACAGUUUGUUACUCCAAAAAUUGCCGUGAAAGAAGGAGACUUGUUGUACAUACUCCAUGUUCCAGAAUUGGAAAACGCAACAUCUACAAUUGUGAGGAUAUACCCGCUGAUCGUAAAUAAUCAAAUGAUAAAAUCGUACCCAAGCCACAUUAUACGGCGUGGGCCAAAACUUUUCGAAACAGAUAAGCCCGAAGACUUCGUACAGAGAUCAUUCCACACUAAAGAAUUCGAAGAUAAAUGUAUUAGACCACUAAUACUGGGAAAACAAUCACAUUGUACCUCAGUUCACAAAAAUGAAACUACCCAACAGCUAAUAAACGAAAACACCUUAUUAAUUUCAAACGCUAAAAAUCACACACUAGAAUCCAAUUGUGGACCCGAUAAUAGAACCAUCACUGGCAAUUUCAUCAUCAAGUUCGCGAACUGUACGAUUAAAUUCAAUAACCAUAAAUUUCAUAAUUCGGAAACCAUGGUGGAUACAGAAAUCCUGCAUGGAGCAUUCCACAAUAUUUUGAUCAAUUGGACCAUUCAAAACCAACCUAAUAUAAAGGAAAUCCACGACACAGCCAUCAACAAUAGAAGGAAGUUAGACCACGUUUAUUUGCAACAAAGUAGCCUUCGCUUCAAUCUAUGGAUAACGUUUGGAGGAAUAUCUCUUUCGACAGCGAUUUGCUUCAUUAUAAUAAUCCUCAUUCUGAGAAACAUCAAUCCUUGCCUAAUGUUCAAUUUUAGGAAAAAGCAGCAACCAAAUGUCGACCCGGGACGGCUCGAACUUGAGGAGGGGGUAGUUACGAACGCGAUUGAGAAGCUAAAAGCCCAACAACAACAAAUCGCAGCAACCCUGGCUGCGAUGGAAGUUUAACAACAACAAUAACAACAACAACAACGUGCUACGAUUAUUCGCACUCCGCGAGUUGUAUCGAGAGCAACAGAACUCAGCGUACUACCUAUCGAUGCGAUAGCACCGAGAGUGCCGAUUUAGCAGAAUGGGCAUAAUGACCCUUGGACAGCUACG